RNAcentral lists this ribosomal RNA (243 nucleotides) under uncultured Actinomycetales bacterium. Its description in RNAcentral is "partial 16S ribosomal RNA". It matches the Rfam family "Bacterial small subunit ribosomal RNA", at positions 88 to 334 of the family's 1533-position model. The record is from RNAcentral. Lineage: Bacteria; Bacillati; Actinomycetota; Actinomycetes; Actinomycetales.
UACUCGAGUGGCGAACGGGUGAGUAACACGUGGGUGAUCUGCCCUGCACUUCGGGAUAAGCUUGGGAAACUGGGUCUAAUACCGGAUAGGAGCCAUCUUUAGUGUGGUGGUUGGAAAGUUUUUUCGGUGUAGGAUGAGCUCGCGGCCUAUCAGCUUGUUGGUGGGGUAAUGGCCUACCAAGGCGGCGACGGGUAGCCGGCCCGAGAGGGUGUACGGCCACAUUGGGACUGAGAUACGGCCCAG